Molecule: ribosomal RNA, 646 nt
Filed under: fungal endophyte
Lineage: Eukaryota; Fungi
Description: eukaryotic LSU rRNA
Rfam family: 5.8S ribosomal RNA (bases 187-340)
Source: RNAcentral
CGGAGGGAUCAUUACUGAGUUUACGCUCUAUAACCCUUUGUGAACAUACCUAUAACUGUUGCUUCGGCGGGUAGGGUCUCCGUGACCCUCCCGGCCUCCCGCCCCCGGGCGGGUCGGCGCCCGCCGGAGGAUAACCAAACUCUGAUUUAACGACGUUUCUUCUGAGUGGUACAAGCAAAUAAUCAAAACUUUUAACAACGGAUCUCUUGGUUCUGGCAUCGAUGAAGAACGCAGCGAAAUGCGAUAAGUAAUGUGAAUUGCAGAAUUCAGUGAAUCAUCGAAUCUUUGAACGCACAUUGCGCCCGCCAGCAUUCUGGCGGGCAUGCCUGUUCGAGCGUCAUUUCAACCCUCAAGCUCUGCUUGGUGUUGGGGCCCUACAGCUGAUGUAGGCCCUCAAAGGUAGUGGCGGACCCUCCCGGAGCCUCCUUUGCGUAGUAACUUUACGUCUCGCACUGGGAUCCGGAGGGACUCUUGCCGUAAAACCCCCAAUUUUCCAAAGGUUGACCUCGGAUCAGGUAGGAAUACCCGCUGAACUUAAGCAUAUCAAUAAGCGGAGGAAAAGAAACCAACAGGGAUUGCCUCAGUAACGGCGAGUGAAGCGGCAACAGCUCAAAUUUGAAAUCUGGCCCUAGGCCCGAGUUGUAAU